Plutella xylostella (diamondback moth) is the source of this 920-nucleotide non-coding RNA. NCBI's taxonomy places the organism in Eukaryota, Metazoa, Arthropoda, Insecta, Lepidoptera, Plutellidae. The record is from RefSeq and is a predicted model, not a curated record.
GGCCAUCUAGAACCUAUUUGGGAUUCGGUAUUAAGUCUUCGUAGGUUCAAUAUUUAAGAUAACAACUGUUUUCUUUUUAGAUUUCAGGACCAGUUUGGCAUUAAAGAUGUGUUGGGUGCUGUUGAUGGAACGCACAUAUGUAUUGUUGCUCCGCCCAUCACACACCCAACAGCACCGCGAUCCCUUUUUUUUAAUAGAAAGGGGGCUUAUAGCAUUAAUGCUCAAGUAAGCUGUGAUUCAAAAGGCCGGAUCACCAACGUUAACGCAAAUUUCCCGGGGUCGACCCACGACGCAGCUGUUUGGGGGGCGUCAAAUGUCAAUAAACACCUGCGGGCAGAGUAUGUGGCUGGUGAAGAAAACCAGUGGAUGCUCGGUGACAAGGGAUAUCCUACUCUGCCGUGGCUUUUGACGCCCCUGCCAGACGACUGCGUCUCUCAGUCCAGAAGCGCGGUAUAACGACGCGCACAUACGCGCCCGAAACAUAAUAGAAAAAUGUUUCGGGCGUCUGAAAAAUAAAUUUAGGUGCUUGCAUAAACACCGCACACUACAUUACGCGCCACGAAAGGCAACAAAAAUAUUUUUGUCCUGUUGCACACUCCACAACAUGCAUUUGGAGCCAUUGGACGAUGAAUAGGAGGAUCAACAGGAAGACGCAGCCGCAGCAGUGGAACCGGCUAUGGAUCCUGCAAACGAUUUCGUGCGGGAAGGCCGGGCCACACGUCAGCGAGUUAUAACACGGGAUUUUUUGUUUUAGUUUUUUAUUUUAUUAAAUUUUAAAUAUACCUAAAAACUAUGUCGUUUUUAUCUACGAGAGUCUAUAGCCUGAGCAAUUAUUUGAGCAGACUCCAAUAAUGCGUUCGCAAUUGUAUUCGCGCUUUCUGUAAGGGCUUCGCGGAGAGCCUCGGAGUUUCUCUGGAGCU